GAUGAACGCUGGCGGCGUGCCUAAUACAUGCAAGUCGAGCGAACGGACGAGAAGCUUGCUUCUCUGAUGUUAGCGGCGGACGGGUGAGUAACACGUGGAUAACCUACCUAUAAGACUGGGAUAACUUCGGGAAACCGGAGCUAAUACCGGAUGAUAUUUUGAACCGCAUGGUUCAAAAGUGAAAGACGGUCUUGCUGUCACUUAUAGAUGGAUCCGCGCUGCAUUAGCUAGUUGGUAAGGUAACGGCUUACCAAGGCAACGAUGCAUAGCCGACCUGAGAGGGUGAUCGGCCACACUGGAACUGAGACACGGUCCAGACUCCUACGGGAGGCAGCAGUAGGGAAUCUUCCGCAAUGGGCGAAAGCCUGACGGAGCAACGCCGCGUGAGUGAUGAAGGUCUUCGGAUCCUAAAACUCUGUUAUUAGGGAAGAACAUAUGUGUAAGUAACUGUGCACAUCUUGACGGUACCUAAUCAGAAAGCCACGGCUAACUACGUG
This 497-nucleotide ribosomal RNA is filed under the name uncultured bacterium. RNAcentral describes it as "partial 16S ribosomal RNA". It matches the Rfam family "Bacterial small subunit ribosomal RNA", at positions 28 to 507 of the family's 1533-position model. The record is from RNAcentral.